CUGAUCUUUUAUGGAAAACAUCGA
RNAcentral lists this non-coding RNA (24 nucleotides) under Arabidopsis thaliana (thale cress). Lineage: Eukaryota; Viridiplantae; Streptophyta; Magnoliopsida; Brassicales; Brassicaceae. The record is from RNAcentral.